CCUACGGGGGGCAGCAGUAGGGAAUCUUCCACAAUGGGCGCAAGCCUGAUGGAGCAACACCGCGUGAGUGAAGAAGGGUUUCGGCUCGUAAAGCUCUGUUGUUGGAGAAGAACGUGCGUGAGAGUAACUGGUCACGCAGUGACGGUAUCCAACCAGAAAGUCACGGCUAACUCCGUGCCAGCAGCCGCGGUAAGACGUAGGUGGCAAGCGUUAUCCGGAUUUAUUGGGCGUAAAGCGAGCGCAGGCGGUUGCUUAGGUCUGAUGUGAAAGCCUUCGGCUUAACCGAAGAAGUGCAUCGGAAACCGGGCAACUUGAGUGCAGAAGAGGACAGUGGAACUCCAUGUGUAGCGGUGGAAUGCGUAGAUAUAUGGAAGAACACCAGUGGCGAAGGCGGCUGUCUGGUCUGCAACUGACGCUGAGGCUCGAAAGCAUGGGUAGCGAACAGGAUUAGAUACCCGAGUAGUC
RNAcentral lists this ribosomal RNA (465 nucleotides) under uncultured bacterium. RNAcentral describes it as "partial 16S ribosomal RNA". It matches the Rfam family "Bacterial small subunit ribosomal RNA", at positions 338 to 795 of the family's 1533-position model. The record is from RNAcentral.